AAGGGAGAAGCUGACAGAGGAGGAGGAAACACAGAUCCUUCCAUGCUGAUGGCCUCCUGCACCCCAGCAGAGCUGAGUUACCUCCUGUCAAAGGCCAUGAACCAGAUGACUAUAUGAGACUGUCCUUGAAAGGCCUGUAGGCUAAAUAAUCAGCUAAAUGAGGUCUGUUUUGAGUUAUGUUUUCAAGUGAAGAGACGCCAUACUGUUCCACUCAAAGAUGAGAUGUAAUCUCUAGCGUUUGGAGCUGUGAUUCUUCAGGACAAGAUGCCAUUCACACUUGAUACAUGAAGAUGCACAUCACUGACAGGCUUUCCUGUGUAUCACUGAUUCAAGUUUUCCACUAUUGUAUUUAUCCAAAUGAGGUUCUCAGGGAUCCCCAGUUGAAGGCAUCAGGACAUCAGAUGUUGGCCUGGACAUAUGUACCAACAGUACACCACAAAGACCUCUGCUUUUAAAUGGAUGGCUGAUUACUACCAUGUUCUGUGCGGGUAUUAUUAUAGCAAAACUGAGCACCUGUGACAGUGGGAUUUCUAAUUUUAAAGAAUAGUCAUACAUCAGUAAAUUAUUUUUUUAUUUAAAAAUUUGAAAGGAUUUUUAAAAGUUGCAAACUUUUUUCUCCAGUUACAAAAACAGCUACACCUUUUCAAUUUCUUCAUUGGGGGUGCACAAAUCCUAUUUCACAAAUUAAGAAAUUGAUAUGCUCACAUUUAAGCCGUGUUCUUUGGACACUGUAACAGUCCUGAUAUGAUGUCACACUUUGCAGUAUCUUUUUUAUUAACAUGAAUUCAAAUUUUAACAAAUAUAUUCAAAAUGUAAAGAUAUACAAUCUGACAAUCUGAUCUUGUCAUUAUUAAUCAAUCAGUAAUCAACACUGCACCACCCCGAAAUUACCAUGCACUGUAGAAGUAUGGUUUUGGCAAGAAAUGAACAGUAGCUAAAUAUUUAUUAUAAAUGCUACUAUUUGACAUUCAGUAUUUUAGUCUAUAUUAAAGGGAUACAAGUCUCUUUUAUGUAUGAUGUUUUUUUUUUAUUACAAACUGUUUUUUGUUUGUUUGUUUGUUUUGUAGCUAGCACUUAAUAUUUCUUUAAUGUUACCACAUGAGAAUAGCCAAACAGUGUAGGUGAUUCACAAAAUCAUACACAAAGAAAUGUGUAUGGAAGUAAUUUAAUG
Molecule: long non-coding RNA, 1171 nt
Organism: Megalobrama amblycephala (Wuchang bream)
Lineage: Eukaryota; Metazoa; Chordata; Actinopteri; Cypriniformes; Xenocyprididae
Exons: 7
Source: RefSeq, a predicted model, not a curated record